RNAcentral lists this long non-coding RNA (821 nucleotides) under Marmota monax (woodchuck). The record is from RNAcentral. Lineage: Eukaryota; Metazoa; Chordata; Mammalia; Rodentia; Sciuridae.
GGCAUGUCACGCCCUCACUUAGGGGCACAUAGAUUUCAGGUGAAACGGAGUAGGUGGAAUUGGCCUCUCACCGUCUGUUUGGCUGAGGACAGAGGAGGAUCUUAAAGACAGUCUGCUAACAGUAAGAGGAAGAUCACUUCCAACUGCAGCCCUGGAGUCAGUAUACAAGAAGGGGACUCUUUUGGGCCCCGAAUCCUUACCAACUGGAUCUUGAAAACUCAAGUCCAAGAUGAGAAUCCACGUCAUUGACAUGGGAUUGAUUCUACGUAUCAUGCCUCCCUCUAGCCCACCUAGAACAUGUGAGUUCUUGUGAGUGUGCACCCUGCUACACUUCUCCAUUGACCCCAACACAAGUCUUCAAGCCCAAGUUUUCUGUCUCCUGAGGCAUGAGAAACAAGGGUCUUUCUACAGUAUGUGAAUGUGAGGUCACAUUCUGGCAACUCCUGAGGCUAGAUCUGGCCUGCGUGUGGAUUUUCUUAGCUUUGCACAAGAUUGAAAUGUUCAGUUGGUUGUGAACAUCUGAGUGUGUGUCCAAGUGCAGAUUUGGGCUGCCUCUGGGAAAUUGAAAAUAUCUAGCAACUCUCUUCUUACGGUUUCUUCUUUGCGUUUAGAUGAAAUACGUGUGUUCAACUUUUCCACAGUCCUCACCCUUCUCUAUAGUCCUACCCCGGGGCCUGCCUUGCUCAUUGACAUUAUUUGUUGUUUUGAAAGUAACUAGUGAGUGAAUAAUGUAUAUGCCUGGAAGGAUGAUGUGAGUGACAGACUGGAACAAAGUCCCUGCUGGGCAGGGACCGCUGUGCAGGGCAGGUCAUCUAAGCAGC